This is a long non-coding RNA of Rhagoletis pomonella (apple maggot), 1579 nucleotides long. RefSeq lists it as uncharacterized. The record is from RefSeq and is a predicted model, not a curated record. The transcript has 2 exons. NCBI's taxonomy places the organism in Eukaryota, Metazoa, Arthropoda, Insecta, Diptera, Tephritidae.
UCAGCGCCAUACGGCAAUGUGCCGGGUAAAUUAGUACUUGGUUGGCUUUCAUUUGAGUUGGUAUUGUGGCGGUUGAACGUGUGCGCAAGUAAAGUGAUAGGUAGAAGAAGUAAAUUUGUAUGUGAACGCGUUUAUUAUUGUUGUCGAAUUUGCAACGGUAGUGAAGCGAAAAUUUGGUAGUUUUGUUGUUGCUGCAUAAUUUUAUCUACAUAUAUCUUCCAAGUAUAUAAAGAUUGUGAAUUGUGUUAGAAACGAAAGGGCGAACGACUUCUACAGGCUAACGGCGAAGUCAAGCACCUUUUUUUUUCGCGGUGGAGCUGCAUAAAACUCUUUUUCCAAUACCUACAAAUUUUCCGCUGCUGUGCAGGCAACAUAAAAAUUACCUUAUUUGUAAUAAAUAAGGAAGUGAAUUUUUGCAAUAGCUAAAACAAUAGCAACAAAAACAAAGUGGAUCUUGUUCUCAGCUGUGGCGACUUUUAUGGCACAAACACAAAGCCUAACAAAGGUAACUGACUGACUGAUUGCCAGCUCGCUUGGUUGCUUGCCGUGCUGUUUGUUGGCUUGUCAGCCUGCCUGGCCUCGUUGUGGUUGGAGUUUUGUCCAUUUUUGGGUGGGGGCGCCGCAUCUGACGUUUGACGUGCAGCAGCAGCAGCCAAUGCCCCAGCUGCAGAGCAAAAAAAAGUAGCAAUUGUGUUUUAGAGUAGCAAAAAGCCAGCAGGAGCUGUGUAAAUGCAGAACUAGGCAAAAAAGUAUUAAAAAAAUUUGCAACACUGCUCACUGUGCUUAUGUUUGUAUGUACGCCUAGUUUCGGCACACAUUUUUUUCACAGUGCAUUUUGAUGUUUCUAUUUUGGUGUGAUUUACGGCAGUUCGCUCGGCGGAAGUGAAGUAUUCCCCCUAGCCCAAAAAACAAAUAACUACAAAAUUAUUUUAGUGCCACAAAAGGAAAAUUCUUUAACUAAGUUAACAGUGAAAUAGAAAAUUUCGUUGCACGUUUUCGUAGUUUUCGUAGCGGCAGUGAGGGCGCACGCAUUUUAGACAUAUUCAACUUCAGUUUUUGUUGUAGUGCGCUCCACAGCGUUGUUGUGCGCAGAAAAGGGUGUGUACGCGCCGCUGCUGUCUCGAUACUGUAUAUUUAUCGUCAAAAUUACUCGAUAGAAUCACUGAAAUGUGAAAAUAAAAUGUUUGUUUACAAAAGUAGUGCUCUGCGUUUGUGCGUUUAAACAAAUGAGUACAAAAAUUACGAAUUAAAUAAAGUAAACAAAAGUGAAGUGCAAAAAUUUUCGCGCAAUUACAAUUCACCAAUAAAAACUGAGGUGUUAUAAAAGUAGCAAAACAAAAAGUAAUAAAAGAUAUAAAUACAUAAAAUUUAAUUAUUCAGCAAUUGAAUUUCAUAAAUAUUUAUUAGUGAGUGCUUAACCAAAAAUACGAGUAUCAGAAAGACAAACAAAUUUGUUCAAUCAUUGCUUUAAAAAAAAAACCUACGCUUCGAGUCUCAAAUAAAAAUAUUUUCAACAACACAAUAAUACAUACGUACAUAAAUUUGGAAACGAAUUUGGAAAGGACCUUUUUGGAAUAAG